This 2893-nucleotide long non-coding RNA is filed under the name Homo sapiens (human). Its description in RNAcentral is "HSALNT0356428". Lineage: Eukaryota; Metazoa; Chordata; Mammalia; Primates; Hominidae. The record is from RNAcentral.
UUCCCAGUCCACCCCUCACUGCCCCCACCCCGACGACAUGUUUUCCCCAACUGGUCAGAAGUUCUUGUCUUACUGUCACAUGGUGUUAAAUUUUAGAAAAAGGAGACAUUACCGCUUGACAGACUACAACAGCUGAACAGCAACAGCUGGGAGGACACAGUUGCAGGCGUAACAUUCGGUCCCGGAGAAGGCAGCAACAGAUGCUUUCUGCAUUAGCACUGUGCUCCAUUUCUUCAGUCCUAUGCCCUUCCCAAAAUUGGCACUGCAAGGUAAGUUUAAAAGAGCUGUAAUUUAGGAAGGGCUGAGCAGCUGAAACUAUAAACAGUGACCAGGGAUUUGACCGCAGAUCCUACGUGACAGUUCCUCGCUGAAUUGUACAACUUCCUCGCUAGUUAAAGCCAGGAGACACAAAUCAACGUCUACAGUGGAACCACAGCACCAGAGAAAGAAAUGUCUUUAAAAUGUCAACUAUUAAAUAGUUAUACUGUCAAGAUGGCUCAUGGGAGGUGUUUGGCUGAAUACAGGGUCAUAGUUCCUCCCACUGUGUCUAUGGGCCUGUGACUUUACCUCUCUCGGGCUCAGUUUUUCAUCUUUAAAAUGGGAAUAACAACUACCAUUAACUCUUGGAUAUCUGAGGAUUAAAUUAUACAAGAUCAAAGUAACCAGUUAGUGUAGUGCCAGGUAGAUUGUUAAUAAGUUUCAUUUUUAUUCCUUAUUUCAACACCCCCACCCCUAUCUUUGUUAAAACCUACAACGGGCAGUUGGAAAGGAAGAGAGAAGGCCAGUACUGAUUCGAUUGUUCUUUUAGCACUGAGGUUUCCACUGAUACUUCUAAGGCCUGUAGCCAGACCCAGAGGGAAGAGGGAGGUUAUCGUUUCUGGAGAGCAGGCACCGAACAUCCUGAGGCUUGGAAUGGGGUCUCCAUUCGUUUUUAUCAAAUCGUUUUUCAUAAACAAGGUCAACAUGAGUUUUCAUUUACAGACAUGAUACCUUAAAGGCAUCUCCAAAUGAGCAGGUCAGCCUUCUCAUCGAGCCCAGAGGAGAGCUGGACUCUCAGCCCAGGAUGUUCACAAAGCAAAGCAUGAGCAACAUCGCAGGGCCUGCUGUCCUGGUGGGACUGAGAUGGAGAGCCUUACAAGAAGGAUGAAAAGCAACUCAUCAAUUUCCGCAUAAAGGCACAACUGUGCCCAGGCUAGUCAGUUCACAGACCUGCUAGAAGCCCGUGAUGCUGCCUGUAAGCUUCAACACAGAGUUUUCUACUGAUUGCAGCUGCAGGCCUUCUGAAGAAGGGGAUGAAAACAGCCACGCAUAUCGGAGAUGCCAUUUCCUGUUAACUUUGAUGGUCUUGACAUACAAGAAAAUGUGCCGGAUCAGUCACACACUCAGAAGAAAGCUGUGGGGGGAGAUAAACACACCUGUACCUGAUAAUUGCUGACAACGUUCCAUGAAGCAGAAUGGUGUGUUUGGGAACAAAGUGUACCUCAUCGAAAAUCAGGGUUAACCAGCAACAUCUCUGAGUUGAACGGAGGUUCCGACGCGCGCACGCACACACACACACUCACACACACGCGCACACACACACACACACACAACUUCCAUCUUAGUCCGAUCUCUGUGAAUUGAUGCCAUUUAAUCAGAAAGGUGCUUCGGCUCUAGGACACUUCAUUUUAAUUCUGAAUGGGCUACAACAUUAAAACCUCCCACGUCCUGUCCCUCCUUGGACACUCUCUUUCCAAUGUCAGCCAAGUCAAUUGCCACGAAUUUUAAUCCUCUCCACACCACUGCCUUGUCUUUCCUACCCAACAAAAGUCACUGUUAGUUCAGAAAAAGAAUCCCAUAUCCAGGAACAAUUAGAGAAGCAAUCAAUAGUUUUAUGAAUCAGGAAUGCUCCCCCCCCCCCCCCGCAAAUUCCCCAGGAAUUAUCAAAAUAUGCAAAGAAAUUCAGUGAAGGCUAAUAAAGGUGACCCAAGAAGGCAUUAUUGCCACUGAAUGGACUUGUGCUCAUUACUGUUCCAGAAAGUACAGAUCAAUGCCACAAAGAAGAUGAUGCCACAAAACAAACUGCAUUCUGUUAAUGACUGUUACAGAAAUCUCCAUACAAAGAAAUCUAAGUGGGAUAUUUCUAAUAUGCUCACUACCAUGAUGACAAAACCAAGGUAUGCUUUUCGUCUAUGAAUUCUGACACCUUAAAUACAGAAUGAUCGUCCCCACGUAACACUCUUCCUUGUGCAUUUUACUUUCUUUCCAAGAACCUGCGUGUUUCCAUGGCUGUGCUCAAUGAACUUUUUAUCAGCCACAUUUUCACCUAAUUAACCCCCCUGAUUACAAUAAUUAGUAUUGAUUCACUCUUUGAAUGACUUCCUCGGUCUUCUAGCACAAUCUGCACUUGCUACAAAGUUCUAGAUAUGAAUACUAAUCAAAUGCUCACUUUCGUUUUUCAGCCCCAAAAGGAGAUUUUUGCAAAUGUAUACCCUCCUAUUUUAAAAAAAGCAAAACUGUCUGGUUUCAUUUUAACAAAUCAAGGAAUAUUCAUACACAGGGGGUUAGAGAUCUCAGUCUGUGGUCUGCUGAACACAUCUAUGUGAAUAUUCCCAAAGCUCAUGGCAGAAGGGCUUAGGGUGCAAUAUUUACUUUCUGUGGAAAGAAGUCAUUUUCCCAGUUUGAAUCUUUUGCUAUUCAUUUUUCUGCAUGUCUGGGCUUAGAAUUAAACUUUCCUCCAACAUUUGUUAAAGUCACUACCUUGAGGAAUCAUUACAUAUAGAGGCUUAUGGAAGGAUACAGAUUACGUAUCCUGUUCCUGUUGUGGAAAUAGAUGUAGACAAGUUUGCCAGCUUCGGGCAACCUCACACCGUCCCUAUCAGGUGAAAGGAAAAGACAUAUGUAUGUCGGAUGC